RNAcentral lists this ribosomal RNA (2286 nucleotides) under Triticum aestivum (bread wheat). Its description in RNAcentral is "partial small subunit ribosomal RNA". The record is from RNAcentral. Lineage: Eukaryota; Viridiplantae; Streptophyta; Magnoliopsida; Poales; Poaceae.
AUGGUGGCCAUGGCAUGGUUGUUGGUUCUCUUGCCAUUAGCUACAUGGGCAUCCACUGCAUCUAGCUCCCUGGCGAAGGCAGGCUGCCCGGCGCGAUGCGGCGGCGUCGACAUCCCCUACCCGUUUGGCAUCGGGGCUGGCUGCUUCCGCCCGGGCUUUGAGAUCACCUGCGACAACAUGAUACCAUUUCUGCCGGAUGCCACCGUCGGCCACUCGCGCCCCGAGCCCGUGCCCGUGCUCAAUCUGACCGUCAUGCCGCAAGCGCAGGUCCGGGUGCUGCUGCCUGUGGCGUACCAGUGCUUCGACGCCGCCGGCAACGAGACGACCGGCAGCUUCGACCGCAGGCUGACGGUCAACCCGGUCGGUGUGUACCGCAUCUCCAGCACCGCCAAUGAGCUCUUUGUCCUGGGCUGCAGUACCUUCAUAUACGCCGGAAGAGGGAGGCCGGCGCUCCGGCGAAAGAACGUGACAACCUAUGCCUACUUCAGCGGGUGCGUGGCCUACUGCGACAGCGCCAAGAGCGCGCGGGAUGGCAUAUGUGACAGCAUCGGAUGCUGCCGCGUCGACAUCCCGCCGGCGCUCACCAACACUAGGAUGAGGUUCGGCAAGUGGCCGCACGCCGGCGUGGAGUUCAGCCCUUGCAACUACGCCUUCAUCGUCGAGAGGGGCCACUACGUCUUCAAGGCCGCCGACCUGAGGAGGAACCCAGAGUCAGACCCAGCCAGGCGCUGGACCAUGCCGCUUUGGCUUGACUGGGCCAUCCGCAACCACAGUAACUCCCUGUCGUGCCCCCGGGCGAAAGAGACGCUGGGAUACGCUUGCGUGAGUAAGUCCAGCGAGUGCGCGAAUUCAACCAAUGGGAUGGGAUAUUUCUGCAUAUUCACGAAAGGCUACCAGGGGAACCCAUACCUUCAUAGUGGAUGCACAGAUAUCGAUGAUUGCAAACAGCCACAAUUAUAUCCAUGCUUCGGCAAAUGUACCAACAUGGAUGGAUCUUUCGAGUGCAGGUGCCCACGAGGAUACAACGGCGAUGCCAGUGAACCUAAUGGAUGUGUGAAGUCCAUAAACACAAGUUUAAUGAUUGGUCUAUCAGUUUCUAGUGGACCAACUAUUAUACUUUUGUUUAUCAGCUCAAAGAUAAUAAUCAGCAAGCUUAAGCGUCAAAAGGAACAAAAAGUGAGGCAAAAGUUCUUCCAUCAAAAUCGUGGACAAUUGUUGCAACAAUUGGUAUCUCAUAGGUCAGACAUUGCAGAGAGGAUGAUUAUUCCUUUAAAGGAGCUGGAAAAGGCUACAAACAACUUUCAUCCAACUCGUGAACUUGGUGGUGGAGGGCAAGGUACCGUGUACAAAGGGAUUUUGUCAGACUUGCAUGUUGUGGCCAUCAAAAAGUCAAAUAUUGUGGUCAAUUGUGAGAUUAAAGAGUUUAUAAAUGAAGUUGCUAUGCUUUCACAGAUCAACCAUAGGAACAUCGUAAAGCUUUUUGGAUGUUGUCUUGAGACAGAAGUCCCGUUGUUGGCUUAUGAGUUCAUUUCUAAUGGAACCUUAUGUGAUUAUCUUCACAAGAAACCACUAAGAUCAAUACCUUGGAAAGACAUAUUAAGGAUUGCAAAUGAAAUUGGCAAAGCUAUUGCUUACCUUCACUCACGUGUUUCUGUCCCUGUAAUACACAGAGAUAUCAAGUCUACUAAUAUACUUCUUGAUGAUGCCUUGACUACAAAGGUGUCUGACUUUGGAGCUUCAAGACACAUCCCUAAGGAUCUAACGGGGAUAACAACAGCGGUGCAAGGAACUUUAGGAUAUUUAGACCCUACAUACUUUUAUUGUGGCCGGCUAACAGAAAAAAGUGAUGUUUAUAGCUUUGGAGUAAUUCUUGUUGAGUUGCUAACGAGGAAGAUGCCAAUUAUAUAUAGAUCCCCCAAAGAUGACGGGCUUGUUGCACAUUUCAUUGAACUACUUGGAGAAGGUAAAUUGGUAGAAAUACUAGAUCAGCAGGUCAUGGAGGAGGGAGGGAGCCAAGUGGAAGAAUUAGCUGCUCUAGCUGUAUCAUGCACAAAACUUAUAGCAGAGGAGCGACCGACCAUGACAUUAGUAGAGAUGACACUAGAAGCCCUCCGAGGACCUAAGGAGUAUGUUCGGGUUAGGGAUGAUCUACCAGUAGAAACACAUGAGGGGAGUUAUUCCACAAAAAGAUAUUCAUAUCCUAUAAGAAGAUCAAGCUUGGAGAACGCGAGCAGGCAAUAUACCCAGGAAGAAGAGGUCAUGUUCUCAGCAAGCUACCCCCGAUAG